GGGACAAGCCCUGGAAACGGGGUCUAAUACCGGAUAACACUCUGUCCCGCAUGGGACGGGGUUGAAAGCUCCGGCGGUGAAGGAUGAGCCCGCGGCCUAUCAGCUUGUUGGUGGGGUAAUGGCCUACCAAGGCGACGACGGGUAGCCGGCCUGAGAGGGCGACCGGCCACACUGGGACUGAGACACGGCCCAGACUCCUACGGGAGGCAGCAGUGGGGAAUAUUGCACAAUGGGCGAAAGCCUGAUGCAGCGACGCCGCGUGAGGGAUGACGGCCUUCGGGUUGUAAACCUCUUUCAGCAGGGAGAAGCGAAAGUGACGGUACCUGCGAAGAAGCGCCGGCUAACUACG
This 349-nucleotide ribosomal RNA is filed under the name Streptomyces sp. CW 18. RNAcentral describes it as "bacterial SSU rRNA". It matches the Rfam family "Bacterial small subunit ribosomal RNA", at positions 140 to 505 of the family's 1533-position model. Lineage: Bacteria; Bacillati; Actinomycetota; Actinomycetes; Kitasatosporales; Streptomycetaceae. The record is from RNAcentral.